CAGGCUCUAGGGACUAGGUUGUGACAUCUUCAAGGGGCCAUUAUUCCACCUCCCACACCUUCCCAACCCUGGCUGUGCUGGCCCUGACUGAGAGGAGGGGGUUUCCACUUCCGUCACCUGGCAAGGGAACCUCCACAGCCCAAGAAUAUUAACAUUUAUCAGGUGCCGGGCAUGGGCCUCAUGUGUUUUAUGUAAUUCAAUCCUCCCAACAAAAGUAUGAGAAAGACCACACUCAGGCCAAGCACUGUGGUUCCCGCCUGAAAUCCCAGCGCUUUGGGAGGUGGAGGCAAGAGGAUUGCUUGAGCUCAGAAGUUCAAGACCACCCUGGGCAACACAAGCCAGCCCUGCAGCACAGCCUUCAACAUGAGCAACUCCUGCUCUCUGUAGCUCCAGCCCCAGCCUGGACCUAUCUUUCAGAGCCAUAAUGCUGAGACAGUCCCUGAGUCUUGGAUGAACACGUGAGGAGAAGAUGCUGUUCUGAGAGCUGCUGAUAAUACGUGGAUCCAAACCCACAGGCUUGAGCUGCUUAAUUGAAAUUCACGUCAAAAUGAAAUUCUGGUUUAGCUCAACUUGACUACUAUGGAUGAUGAAAAUAAAUCCCUGGGUCACACAAGGAUAGUGAUUGAGUAGAGCUUGUUUGCUGGCACAGGAAUGACAUUUCAACUGGAAUUAAAUUGUCGUCAGUUAACAGAACUGAAUUUUCAGUCAUUCUUUGACUUGAAUUUUCUUUUUUCCCAAGAUAACAUGGACAGGACCCAGGAUGAAAACAUUGAUCUGAAAUGCAUCUUCUACCUCCAGUUCAUCUGUUGACGCCCUUACCACCAAGGGAGGUGCAAGCUCCGGGAAGAGACCUUGAGAAGAAUGGAAAGAAAAACACCAGGAAAAACACAAAUGCUGUGUGAUGAGUCACUGUGUUGACUGAGAUCUCAUGACAAACUGCACAAAGACAUAGCAGG
RNAcentral lists this long non-coding RNA (956 nucleotides) under Homo sapiens (human). RNAcentral describes it as "HSALNT0360539". The record is from RNAcentral. Lineage: Eukaryota; Metazoa; Chordata; Mammalia; Primates; Hominidae.